Molecule: long non-coding RNA, 5686 nt
Organism: Cebus imitator (Panamanian white-faced capuchin)
Lineage: Eukaryota; Metazoa; Chordata; Mammalia; Primates; Cebidae
Exons: 3
Source: RefSeq, a predicted model, not a curated record
CCUUCAUCUUGGACUUUCAGCCUCCAGAACUCUCUUCAUGCCUGCCUUGUGUGACCUGGGGAUGAAAGAGUGCCCACUCAACUCACUCUACGCUCCUUGGUCAGAAUUUGAAUAUGAUAAAUCUUUUCCAUUCAAAUUAUGAGGACUUCAGUGCCAUAUUUGGAAAAAAAUUCAGGUUCCAUUUUUACCCAAUUCUGAAGAGGCUGACCCAGAAGACUUCUCAGUGAAAGGGAAUGCCAAGUAUUUCCUCCUUGUGCCUAGUCCUCAAUCUCUCCUUCACAUUUAUAUCUUUCCAGUCUGAAUUCCAACCCUUCAUUCUUCUAGUCAGUCUACUUGUUCUGGAAGUCAUCCAGUGUCUUCCCUCCCUUGUCUACUUUGUUGAAGAGAAGCAUAACUUGAAGUUAUUUGUUAAGGCUAUGAAUGAAUUUGUAAGUAAUGUACUAUGACACGGCAUAGAGAAAAACUCAUUAAAUAUGACACAUUAUGUCAUAUAUAGUUAGGAAAUAACCAGACUUUGACUUGACCAAGAAACAUAUAGCUUGACUAAGGUACUAUUUUUCUCAUGCUCAGUAAAUUUAACAAUUGUAAAUUAUUGCCAGUGAAACAAUUAAUUAAUUUGGUCAAAACACCAUAGUCGUCUGAUGCCUGACCCUUGGGCAGUUAGGAUAAUGGUAGGUAUCUCAUGAGGGGCGUUUGGGCUUGAGAUUAGUUCAGAUAUCAAAGGCAUGCUCCAGGGAUACUUCUUUGGUAUCUCUAGGAAUUAGCUAGCCUUGGUCUCAAGGCCCCAGAUGUCAACACAUCAGAUACAGAAACUAUUUAAUAGAAAACAUGGAUAAUGCAGUUGGCAAACUGCAAUUAUCUCUUUUUACACAUUUGCAGGCAAAGCAAUUUAUAUACAGAUGAAGUUGUUGAAAAUCUCCCCUGAUGAAGGUUUCUAGCAGCAACUAUUCAUUUGAGUUAAGCAUUGAUCUCCAAGUUGAAAUAUUUAGAAAUCGGAAAUAUUCUAUUAAAAUUUAACUUAUCCAAGACUAAUACCUUUGUGCUAGUUAUUUAGUUACAGCUAGUUUUCUUUGUGAUUUCAAGAGUGUAGCUGAAACAGAGCUACUCAAGAAGGUUGAUGAUGAAGAAAGAACCAGAGUGGAGAUACUGAAGUCAUAUUUGGUCCUUUCACUAUUCUUUAGAAAGUGUGCCUUCUUUUUAGAAGUGGUUUUAUGCUGUGACGUUAAUCGUGGAACUUGCCUCCUGCUGACAAUGAACACUAUGUUCAUUGAAAAUAAGUGCUUUUUACUUCUUGGUAGCAGUCAUACUUUAUUCAGGGUUGCAUUUUCAGUGCAUUUGCACAAUGACUGGCGUACAUUUGGUGCACAGUAAGUCUUUUUGACUGAAUAAUUACAAAUAUGCAAAUAAUAUAUAUGAGACUCAUAUGUCUGUUCUCUAACACUUCGCUAAGCAGUUUCUUUACUAAUUGUCCAGUCUACUAGUAUUUCUCAUGUGAAAUCUCCUAGUUUCCAUACUCUUACAGUUCGUUCUAAGUCAGAGAGUAGGGAAUAGUGUGACUAUUAUAGUAUCUGUGAAUUUGAGCACUAACAGAGAGUACUGAUGUAGCACUAUUUGACUCAGUUUACAAUUAUUUUUCUUAUGUAAUAGAGCUAUGAUAAACAGAACAAUAAAAAAUAUUAACUUUGUAAUACACCAAAUAACAGUAUGAAGUGUAAAAGAGCAAUUAGAUAUACAAGCAAAGAAAUGAAGAGUGAAAAGAAUGCACUCAGUUUCACUUAUGAAGCAUUAUUCUCAUUAUGCUUUUAUCUAAAUUUACAAAAAAAAGAUAGCUGCAGAAAUUUGAUGUGAUAUAGUGAGCUUUUACUCAGGUUUUUAGUUCCCCAAAGUUCAUAGACAAAUAGACUUAAACCUUUUAGAGAUUCAAGUGGGAAUGAGUAAGAGCAGAAAAUUGUGACAGUUGGAGAAUGAGCAAGUGAGGUAGAACUUUUUCUCCUGUAUUUCCACCUGUUUUCAGUUUUGGUCUGUCUCUGGGUUGUGAGCAGAGAUCUAUGAAAUAAAGAGAUGGCAGAAAAACAAUGGAAAUAUUGUCACUUGGACUCAGUAUUAACAAAUUGUGAGCUUUGUGCCUUUUGUCUUUGUUUUCUCCAUUUAAAAAAUUAUGGAACUGCAUGAAAUGCUCUCUAGUGUCCUUCAUGGCUUGACCAGCCUAUGAUUCUGCUGUUGGUUAGGUAAGUUCGUCCUGAAAAUGAAUAGACUCAUAAAACAGUAAGGAAAAAGGGUAACGUUUCCAUAUGACACUGUGAAAUGCCUGUCUAGACUAUGAAGCCAAACUGAAAAACAGUUCAAAAAUUGUACCUUAAGAUUUUAAGAAAAGGAAGGGAAAAGGAGUGUGUACUGAGUGCAAAGCUUCAGUUGCAAAAUUUUUUAAAUCUUCAAGUAUGGUAUGCAUUACCUACUAAAUUAUAAUUGUCUACAAAAAGAAAUUUGAGAUGAGCAAAUGAAAUACUUGUAUUUAUAAUACUGAAUAAUAAUAUAAGCACAAAAACAUUUUACUAUUCAGGAUUUAGAAUUUAGGAUCCAAUAAUUGAAGAUGAAAAAUUCUUGGGUCUUCUUGUAGGCAAGCAGAUUAUUUAGGCCUAACUUCUCUUGUUUCAUGAACAAGUACCUGAAAAUUUAGAGAAAAAUAAAUUGUUUCAACCUGUUUUUUUACUAGAAGGCCCCCCCUCCCCACAAAUACAGAAUCAGAAUUGCCAUAAAUUUCUAAACUGGUGAAAUUCCAAUUAGUGCUCUGUUUUAUUUUUCACUAUGCAGGUUCUGAAUGAUAAAUUUUUCUGAGCUUAGGCCUAAUAUUUGAAAAAAUCUGCCAUAAUAAGCAGUCCAAUACGUGCCAGAAACUUACAAGGAAAAUAAUGAAGUCAAUGAAGUGAAAAAGAAAAAUGAAUUAAUAGAAAAUAGGAGAUACAUAAUGCAUCAAAACAUUCCCAUAUAGAAAUGAAUCAUAUAUUACCUUGUCACAUUUAAGCUGUUGUAAAUAUUUUUUAAGGAGCUCUCCCCUAGAAUUUUUAUAGAAACUUAUAUUCUCUAUAAAAAAAGAACACAACGGAGCAUAAGAGACAUAAUUUUAUGUUUAUCUCUGUCUUUGUCCUUACUUAAAUCACAGUCAAAAGAGAAGUAGCAGAGAAAAACCUCCUAAGAUGCAGAAGGCCUACAGUUGGAAGCUAGGGAAAACAGCAGGAAUAAAUACUGCAAAAAUAUAAUUAAAAAAUAAAUGUAAGAAUUCAUACUGUUAAGAACUCAAAGGAAUUUCUGGAAAGCAAGAUUGAGAGCUUGUUACUACUGCAGUGGGGUUUGAUAUUUUGGUGACUUUCAAUUCAGUGUUGCAUGCUAGCAACAAUGGCACCAGCAGCUGAUGUGUUUGGUCCUCUGGUUGUUGGUAAUCCAUACUUCUUUUCCUGGAAGAAAAAGCACUGGAUACUGGGAAAGCUUAACAGUGUCCAAUAUCUUCUGAAGAUAGUUUGAUUUGUCAAGCAGUUAUGUGGACAUUAAAAGAGAAUGUUAAUGCUCACUGUUCCAGUUUCAUUCUGAAGAAACAAAGACAAACUCUGGGCUAGACAGGGGAACUUUGCAAGGGUUCUCUCAUUUAUUGAUGUCAACAAUGGUAUGAUACAGACUUUAUUAUUGCCAUUUUAUGGAUAAGAAAAUUAAAACUUGGUGAGGUUAAAUAGCUUAUCUGAUGCAAAUGCUAUAGUUGGAUCUGAACCCAGUGAAAUUAUUCCAGAGCCCCGACAUACUAUUCUGUGUCAAAUGCUGUGAAAAAAAAAAAAAUGCACUGGACAUUUGUUAAAAAUGGCAUGGAAGCUUUGUUUAAGACUAUUGUAGUAAAGCUUAAGACUCUUGCAAUAAGGGAGAACGAUUGAAUUCAGCUCUAAAUACAAUAGGGACAAGUAAGGAUUUAUAGCCAAUGGUUAGAAUGAGAGAGUGGAUGGAAAAAAUUACUAAUAGGAGCUUGGUUAAGUAUCAGGGGUUGGGGAGGAGAGGAACUUAAUUAGGCAUCAAGGUGAAGGAAUGAGCUUGACUGGAAUAUUAAGAGUAGGGGAGAUGACUGAUAAACUAUUUUAGCAGGAUUCUUUGCUGAAGCUGAGCUCAGCAGGUGAGGAAGAGGAACAAGGAUGAGGCCCAGUGUUAGGGGGGUGGUGGAAAACUUCAAGGAGCUUGGUUUGGUCAAGGAGAUGAGUUUUCAUCAAUAUUAGAGUUCAGAAUAGAAAAAACACAAAUAUAUAAUUGUGAAGUUAUUUUGGAUUUGUUAAAUUUGUACUUUCUGGUGUAUGAUAAUAGGCUUUAGAAAACUCUGGGUCCUCAUUCCCCAGUGGUCCUUCUUGUCCUGAUAAAUUACUCAUAAUCACAGGAACCCCUGAUAUGCCAGUACUCAUUUUGAUAUGUGAGGGGGAUUUAAGAAGAAAUAAUGUGAAAAUGUUCUAUUUUUUUCAUUGCAUAGUUUAAUAUUUUUUUCAUUUAGGUACAACCUACUUCUCUGGAUUUUGUGUCUCUUUCACACUUUCCACUCUCCUCCCCAUGUAACUCAAUCUGUUUUUAGGUUUUCAUUUUCAAAACAGACUAAAAAGAAAACUUACUCUGGUUUCUUUCAAUGUAGAGUCAUAUUUUCAACUUUAUUUUUUCUCUUAAUUAGGUUGUUAAAAUGUUUAGUUCCCCUGCUUUCCUAAAAUACAAGUGCUAUAGCAAAAGAUAAACAUAUUCAACUAUUUUAGGAUAUAUACAACCUUAAGUUAUCUGUGAAAGCCAGAGUCCUGGAGACAUUAGUAUGCAAAAGCAUGCACCUGAGACUAUUUGGUUUCCAAAGCUCCUUCAUAACAUCCAGUCCUCAAACAACAAACAUUCUUUUGCUAUUGAAACUGGUUCAGAACAGAACAGAAAGAACAAGGCCUGCUGGUUGAAGCAUUGGAGGUAAGCCGACCAUUUGCUUCACAAAGCAAAGCUUCACCCUACCUCUCCAAGGCGCUUUCAUCUGAAAACUGGGUUUGGAACCAAAUAGAAACAAACACUCUCCAGUGGGAUUCAUCACUUCCUGAUUUCAGAUGGGCACAAACAGUAGACACUUGUAUUUUCCUGCUAUUCACAUUUUCAGUCAGUUCUGAAACUGAAGGUGUGCUUAAAUAAUGAUGGCCUGUACACAUUGCCUUUUCUCCAACUGGGGAUUCAGAUUCAUACUUUCCCAGAGAAAGGUGAAACUGCUUUUCAGGUCAGCUCGCUUAAAGAUGGCACAAAAUAAUAUUUGUAAAAAGUUCUUUAUAAUGAGACAGAUAAUUGGAAGCAUACAGUCUCUGUUGCUACUUAAAAAUGCCUUGUAAUUAUUUUUCUUGAUUUUUAGAAGCUGUGGAUUUCUGUUUUGAGGCCAGCGAGUAGGGAGGAGAGCGCUUUGGUGGUCCAGAUGCUAUUAAAAUCAGAUAAUUUAGUCCAUGUGACUUUUAACAAGCCAUUUGUUUCCCAUAUUCUCAUUUGUGUGUAAUUAGCAAAGACUGCAAUGCUUUACACCUAUACACACAAGUAGUUUGAAUGCAGUGCUAAUCAUCAGUGUGACACUUUCAUCUCUGUUACCUUUUAAGAAUGGUCAGUCUCUUUUGAAAUGGAAAUAAAAAAUACAAACUAAAACUAAAGCCAUGGAAAAGUA